Molecule: long non-coding RNA, 2231 nt
Organism: Melozone crissalis (California towhee)
Lineage: Eukaryota; Metazoa; Chordata; Aves; Passeriformes; Passerellidae
Exons: 2
Source: RefSeq, a predicted model, not a curated record
CCUGUGAGCUGUGCAGGGUUUUUUGGGAUUCCUGUUGGUCAGUUCCCUUGUGAGCUGUGCAGGGUUUUGUGGGAUUCCCGUUGGUCACUUCCCUGUGAGCUGUGAAGGGUUUUAUGGGAUUCCUGUUCGUCACUUCCCACAUGAGUUGUGCAGGGUUUUAUGGGAUUCUCAUUGAUGACUUCCCUGUGAGCUGUGAAGGGUUUUGUGGGAUUCCCUUUGGUCACUUCCCACAUGAGUUGUGCAGGGUUUUGUGGGAUUCUUGCUGGUGACUUCCCACAUGAGCUGUGAAAGAUUUUGUAGGGUUCCAGUUGGUGAGUUCCCCUGUGUUUUAUGGGAUUCCCGUUGCUCAGUUCCCAUGUGUUUUAUGGGAUUCCCAUUGCUCAGUUCCCAUGUGUAUUAUGGGAUUCCCAUUUGUCAAUUCCCAUUUGUUUUAUGGGAUUCCCAUUGCUCAGUUCCCAUGUGUAUUAUGGGAUUCCCAUUUGUCAAUUCCCAUUUGUUUUAUGGGAUUCCCAUUGCUCAGUUCCCAUGUGUUUUAUGGGAUUCCCAUUGCUCAGUUCCCAUGUGUUUUAUGGGGUUCCCAUUGGUCAGUUCCCAUGUGUAUUAUGGGAUUCCCAUUUGUCAAUUCCCAUGUGUUUUAUGGGAUUCCCAUUUGUCAAUUCCCAUGUGUAUUAUGGGAUUCCCAUUUGUCAAUUCCCAUGUGUUUUAUGGGAUUCCCAUUUGUCAAUUCCCAUGUGUUUUAUGGGAUUCCCAUUGCUCAGUUCCCAUUUGUUUUAUGGGAUUCCCAUUGCUCAGUUCCCAUGUGUUUUAUGGGGUUCCCAUGUGUUUUAUGGGAUUCCCAUUGCUCAGUUCCCUGUCAGCUCUGAAGGUUUUUAUGGGAUUCCCAUUGCUCAGUUCCCAUGUGUUUUAUGGGAUUCCCAUUGAUCAGUUCCCAUGUGUUUUAUGGGAUUCCCAUUGAUCCCUUCCCUUCCCAGCCCUGGCCAUUGCCUGCAGCUGAGGCAGCAGCUCCUGGAGCACUCCCCUCUCCAGCUUUCCCUGUCCCCCUUCUCCCGAGCUCUCUGCAGGCAGGGCUGAGCCUCUCCAGGGAAUCUUUGCCAAGGCUUUCCCUGCUUGUUGCCGUCUUCCCUCGGCGGUUCCAGCGCCAGAGGAAAAACAGCAACUUCCCAGGAAGCUUUGAGAUUGUCUUAGGAUCAGACGUCACCUAAUCCCACGGGGCUCUUUAGGAUUCUGUGAGCAGACCGCUGGGUUUCCACACUUUUCAGUCACAUGCCUCCACUUUCCCCUCUUUUUUUUUUAUUCUUUUUCUUUUUUUUUGUUGGUUUUUUUUUUCCCUUUGAUCCCUUUUUAUUUUCCACGCCCACCGCUUUGCGAGAUGUUCGGAGCGAGCUUCUCUCCCCCCAGUCCGAGGAGUGGGGCCAAAUUGCCUUUUGUCUGUGAGUAUUUCUUUGUCCUUUCAGGGCCUCCUGUGAGCGGUGAGCCCGUGUGUGGUGCCCAGGGCUGCCCGUGCAUGUUCGGGCGUGUUGUGCUGACCCAGGCUGGGAUCUCACCCAAGCCAGCCAGGUUUUAGUCGGGAUAUUUGGGAUGGGAAUUGCGGGACCCCGAGCCUGGCACCCCCCUGUUCCCAGCGUGGGGGGGGUCAGCAGGGCCCUGCCCAUCACACGGGGGGAUUUGCUUUGCUGGCAGUUUGUCCCCCCACCCUCUCCUCCUGCUCUGGCAUCACCAAUUCCUCCUCCUCAAAAUCCUUUUGGUCUUUGUGCUUCAUGGUUUGGGGGCUCAGAUCCAACCCCCUGAUGAUGCUUGGGGCUGGUGGAACUGCAGCUUCCCAGUGUCCCAGCUCUGGAAAAGGGCUGGAUCUUCAUUGUCCUGGCCCUGGAGAACGUGGCCAAGGGGUGGAAUUUUUAUCCCCCCUUAUCCCUAGAGCUGCACUGUGCCACCCUGGAGAUGGUGGCCAAGGGCUGGGUGUUGUCCCUGUGUCCCUGUGGCACCCACGCGUGUGGCUGUCACACUGCCAGGUCCCCUGUUCCCUUUGAAGCACUUCCCGAGGGGGUGAGGAGCAGCGAUGGGGCUCUGGGUGCUAAUUACCCCCUCAAUUAAUUAACGCCCCCUCUCCGUGCCGGGCUUCCCCUGCCACCGCCCCCAGCCGAGAUCCCCCCUCCCCUCUUUUGGGGACAACUCGGGAGCAGAAUUCCCUGCCCCGAUCCCCACCACGGCAAACCAAAAAAACAAAAAAACAA